CUCCUUCCAGCACUUCUCUAGGAAGAUUGUGGGCAGACUUCUCUCCAAUAAGGGAGAUUUUUAUGACACCAACCUACUGACGGUGGCGAGGCAGUUCUUCCAGACGAAAAAAAAAAAGAGCUGGUCUCCCUCCAGAAGAUGAUCUUGAGCCUGCAAUGACUCUCCUGCCUCUGUUCUGGGCAUGUACAACCUCACUCUGGUCAAAAAAGACCGGAUACAUCGACCAUUGCACCCAUCCAAGAAAGGUUUAGUCCACCAAGAACAUUUCCUGUUUUAAUUUCAUUUGCUGCAUCUUGCUUUAGCUAAAAGCAAGAUGGGGUAGCAUUGUGGUCCUGGAUAUAAAGAUACAAAUGAAAAUCUUUCAUACCUCGCUAG
RNAcentral lists this long non-coding RNA (375 nucleotides) under Mus spicilegus (steppe mouse). RNAcentral describes it as "lncRNA (ENSMSIG00000028458.1)". Lineage: Eukaryota; Metazoa; Chordata; Mammalia; Rodentia; Muridae. The record is from RNAcentral.